GACGAACGCUGGCGGCGUGCUUAACACAUGCAAGUCGAACGGAGCGAAUGAAAGCUUGCUUUUAUGAGUCUUAGUGGCAAACGGGUGAGUAACACGUAGACAACCUGCCGACAGGAUGGGGACAACAUUCCGAAAGGAAUGCUAAUACCGAAUGAAGCGGAGGAGAGGCAUCUCUCUUCCGUGAAAGAUGGCCUCUGAACAUGCUAUCACCUGUCGAUGGGUCUGCGUCUGAUUAGCUGGUUGGUGAGGUAACGGCUCACCAAGGCGACGAUCAGUAGCCGGUCUGAGAGGAUGAACGGCCACAUUGGGACUGAGACACGGCCCAGACUCCUACGGGAGGCAGCAGUGGGGAAUCUUCCGCAAUGGGCGCAAGCCUGACGGAGCAACGCCGCGUGAGUGAAGAAGGUCUUCGGAUCGUAAAGCUCUGUUGACGGGGACGAACGUGCGAGAGGUGAAUAAUCUCUUGCAAUGACGUACC
RNAcentral lists this ribosomal RNA (478 nucleotides) under Centipeda dianae. RNAcentral's name for it is "bacterial SSU rRNA". It matches the Rfam family "Bacterial small subunit ribosomal RNA", at positions 28 to 479 of the family's 1533-position model. Lineage: Bacteria; Bacillati; Bacillota; Negativicutes; Selenomonadales; Selenomonadaceae. The record is from RNAcentral.